This is a long non-coding RNA of Gorilla gorilla gorilla (western lowland gorilla), 1164 nucleotides long. RefSeq lists it as uncharacterized. The transcript is spliced from 4 exons. The record is from RefSeq and is a predicted model, not a curated record. Lineage: Eukaryota; Metazoa; Chordata; Mammalia; Primates; Hominidae.
UAUAAACAUGUUUUCAGAUAAUGGCUGUAUCAAGUUUUCAGUUUCAAAAGUUUUUAGUUCCAGGUACAUUGUAGUAAUACAGAUAUGCCUUUUAGGGGCUUGUUGAGGUAUACCAAAAGAGAAACAUGAUUAACCCUUAAUAAUAUGGAGCAACAUUUAAUUGCACAAAGAAAAAGUUCUGUAGCAAAGCAACUACCUGCUUUUCCCCCUUUCAUUUACUUCUAAAAAUGGCAAUUCUCCCUCUAGUCCCUGACUUUUAAUUAGAGGGAAAAGAGACAACCUAGCAGCUGUUAUAGCUUAUAAAGACUCUGCGUCAAUGCAGAUUAAACCAGAGACAAGAGAGCUCAAUUCCUAUGUUUUAAAAUAGCAAUUAUACAGUUGCUUUAUCCCAUUCUUCCUACUAACACAUACCUCUUUCCCCAGCAUCUACUGCAGGAGUUCAACCAGACGCUGAACAGAACAGCAGUUGUCUAACCUGUGAUACUGUUAUCAGAUGAAGACCCCUAGGAAGUCUACAGAUUAGAAUGGAAGGAAGAAUCUGGAUUACAGCUUGGAUCAGAGAAGAAGAGUCUUGGUUUUUAUGUAAUUAAGAGGCAAGAAGUAUGGCAAGCAUGGCAAGGAACUCUUAUUUCCAGUUUAAAGAAGGGGCGGGAGUCUCCCUACUGAGCUCCACUUUUCUUUGGAGGCAAGAGGAGUGGCAUUUGUAACUCUGGGUAAGAGUUGAAAUUACUCACAUAGAAGAAGGAGAUGGGACCGGCAUGGAAACUAAUCAUAAUCCCGAAGAUGAAAGUCAGCUGGGACAGCAUGAUAUGAAGUGCCACAGCAGCCAGAACGUUGAUCAGCAGAGCACUCACCAGGAAGAAGGAACCUAUGGAAGAAGAUGUUAGGUAGAAGGUGAAGUUUCAAGUCCAGUGCUGAACUCACCAAUGGACAUUUGAUGACACGAUCCAAAAAUUACAUAGAUUACCGAAGAACAGAAAGCUGCAUAAGCGAUGUUGAGAGGAGGAAUCAGUUGCCUUGCCAGCAAACUAAGUGUCAGGCCUGAAAAACAAGAUAAUUUAAGAAAAAGCAGCUUGUCUUUAAGUCACCUUAAAUAAAAACUGUAAAGAAUAUUUAAAAUAAAAAUCAUCCAUGUGUAUAGCUGACUGAGUGUGGUAAUAGUAU